GAUGAAGAACGUAGCGAAAUGCGAUAAGUAAUGUGAAUUGCAGAAUUCAGUGAAUCAUCGAGUCUUUGAACGCACAUUGCGCCCCCUGGUAUUCCGGGGGGCAUGCCUGUCCGAGCGUCAUUGCUGCCCUCAAGCACGGCUUGUGUGUUGGGCUCCGCCCCCCUCCCGGGGGGCGGGCCCGAAAGGCAGCGGCGGCACCGCGUCCGGUCCUCGAGCGUAUGGGGCUUUGUCACCCGCUCUGUAGGCCCGGCCGGCGCCCGCCGGCGACCCCAAUCAAUCUUUCCAGGUUGACCUCGGAUCAGGUAGGGAUACCCGCUGAACUUAAGCAUAUCAAUAACGGAGGA
RNAcentral lists this unclassified non-coding RNA (344 nucleotides) under soil metagenome. RNAcentral's name for it is "partial contains 5.8S ribosomal RNA, internal transcribed spacer 2, and large subunit ribosomal RNA". The stretch from base 1 to 120 matches the Rfam family "5.8S ribosomal RNA", at positions 35 to 154 of the family's 154-position model. The record is from RNAcentral.